This is a long non-coding RNA of Acanthochromis polyacanthus (spiny chromis), 171 nucleotides long. RefSeq lists it as uncharacterized. The transcript is spliced from 2 exons. Lineage: Eukaryota; Metazoa; Chordata; Actinopteri; Pomacentridae. The record is from RefSeq and is a predicted model, not a curated record.
GUUGUCAAGUAAGAUGCAGAUGUUGAGGUCUCAGAGAGGACUCAGGCUCAUUACAGCCCUAAGGUAACAAAGCAGACAAAUAAAGAUCUUAAGAAGAAACAUUAUAAGUUAACCAUAUGAUUGUGCCUGCUAAAAUACAUAUAUAUUUUUUGAAGUGUUGAUUUGAUUGAA